Long non-coding RNA from Coregonus clupeaformis (lake whitefish), 895 nucleotides. RefSeq lists it as uncharacterized. The transcript is spliced from 3 exons. Lineage: Eukaryota; Metazoa; Chordata; Actinopteri; Salmoniformes; Salmonidae. The record is from RefSeq and is a predicted model, not a curated record.
AAACUAAAACUAUAUUGAAACUAUAAUCUUAAAUCCAAAAUUAAACUAAAUAAAAAUGUUGGUUUUGAAACAUUAUGUUCUGAGAUGUCUGCCUACAUGCUAUGGAAAGAGUUAGAUUUUUCAGGCUUGGCCCGCCUACCCAAACCCGUGAUUUGUUGGGAGAGUUGUCUGUCUGAAGAGGACCCUCCCUGGAAUUUUUAUUUUUUUUAUGUCCAAGAGAAUCUGACAUCCUCCCCAGACGUAGUGCUGUUGCUCUAGGUCUAGGUCUGUUGCUCUAGGUCUGUUGCUCUAGGUCUGUUGCUCUAGGUCUGUUGCUCUAGGUCUGUUGCUCUAGGUCUAGGUCUGUUGCUCUAGGUCUGUUGCUCUAGGUAUGUUGCUCUAGGUCUGUUGCUCUAGGUCUGUUGGUCUAGGUCUGUUGCUCUAGGUCUGUUGGUCUAGGUCUGUUGCUCUAGGUCUAGGUCUGUUGCUCUAGGUCUGUUGCCCUAGGUCUAGGUCUGUUGCUCUAGGUCUAGGUCUGUUGCUCUAGGUCUAGGUCUGUUGCUCUAGGUCUAGGUCUGUUGCUCCAAGUCUGUUGCUCUAGGUCUGUUGCUCUAGGUCUGUUGCUCUAGGUCUAGGUCUGUUGCUCUAGGUCUAGGUCUGUUGCUCUAGGUCUAGGUCUGUUGCUCUAGGUCUGUUGCUCUAGGUCUGUUGCUCUAGAUCUGUUGCUCUGGGUCUGUUGCUCUAGGUCUGUUGCUCUAGGUCUAGGUCUGUUGCUCUAGGUCUGUUGCUCUGGGUCUGUUGCUCUAGGUCUGUUGCUCUAGGUCUGUUGCUCUAAGCCUGUUGCUCUAGGUCUGUUGCUCUAGGUCUGUUGCUCUAGGUCUAGGUCUGUUGCUCUAGGUCUAGGUCUGUUGCUCUA